UAUUAUUAUUAUUAUUAUUUUGAGUGUUUGAGGAACUCUACAGAUUGUUGUUCCAUUGGAAGAGGAGAUGGGAAUGGUAAAUCUAUUUUGUUUAAGAAGACCUAGGAAACAUGAACUGAGAAUAUGAGGUGAAGUCAUUGUGUGCAAAAGAAAAUACUAAUGGUUCUGUAUCAUUGAGUGGUUUGGUCAUAAGUUGAAAGGAAGCAUGGCCAAAGAUUUG
RNAcentral lists this unclassified non-coding RNA (220 nucleotides) under Hevea brasiliensis (rubber tree). Lineage: Eukaryota; Viridiplantae; Streptophyta; Magnoliopsida; Malpighiales; Euphorbiaceae. The record is from RNAcentral.